UAGCUCAGUUGGUAGAGUGCUUGCCUCCAAUGCACAAAACCCUGGGUUCGAUCCCCAG
This 58-nucleotide transfer RNA is filed under the name Ictidomys tridecemlineatus (thirteen-lined ground squirrel). RNAcentral's name for it is "Spermophilus tridecemlineatus (thirteen-lined ground squirrel) tRNA". It matches the Rfam family "tRNA", at positions 8 to 63 of the family's 71-position model. From Rfam's summary of the family: Transfer RNA (tRNA) molecules are approximately 80 nucleotides in length. The record is from Rfam by way of RNAcentral. Lineage: Eukaryota; Metazoa; Chordata; Mammalia; Rodentia; Sciuridae.